UACGGAGGGUGCAAGCGUUAUCCGGAUUGACUGGGUUUAAAGGGUGCGUAGGUGGGUCUGUAAGUCAGUGGUGAAAUCUCCGAGCUUAACUCGGAAACUGCCAUUGAUACUAUAGGUCUUGAAUUAUCUGGAGGUAAGCGGAAUAUGUCAUGUAGCGGUGAAAUGCUUAGAUAUGACAUAGAACACCAAUUGCGAAGGCAGCUUACUACGGAUCGAUUGACACUGAGGCACGAAAGCGUGGGGAUCAAACAGG
This 253-nucleotide ribosomal RNA is filed under the name uncultured bacterium. RNAcentral's name for it is "partial 16S ribosomal RNA". It matches the Rfam family "Bacterial small subunit ribosomal RNA", at positions 524 to 776 of the family's 1533-position model. The record is from RNAcentral.